Molecule: unclassified non-coding RNA, 1264 nt
Filed under: uncultured Hypocreales
Lineage: Eukaryota; Fungi; Ascomycota; Sordariomycetes; Hypocreales
Description: sequence contains 5.8S rRNA gene, ITS2, 28S rRNA gene
Rfam family: Eukaryotic large subunit ribosomal RNA (bases 335-1264)
Source: RNAcentral
AACUUUCAACAACGGAUCUCUUGGUUCUGGCAUCGAUGAAGAACGCAGCGAAAUGCGAUAAGUAAUGUGAAUUGCAGAAUUCAGUGAAUCAUCGAAUCUUUGAACGCACAUUGCGCCCGCCAGUAUUCUGGCGGGCAUGCCUGUCCGAGCGUCAUUUCAACCCUCGAACCCCUCCGGGGGGUCGGCGUUGGGGAUCGGGAACCCCUCAGACGGGAUCCCGGCCCCGAAAUACAGUGGCGGUCUCGCCGCAGCCUCUCCUGCGCAGUAGUUUGCACAACUCGCACCGGGAGCGCGGCGCGUCCACGUCCGUAAAACACCCAACUUUCUGAAAUGUUGACCUCGGAUCAGGUAGGAAUACCCGCUGAACUUAAGCAUAUCAAUAAGCGGAGGAAAAGAAACCAACAGGGAUUGCCCUAGUAACGGCGAGUGAAGCGGCAACAGCUCAAAUUUGAAAUCUGGCCCCUAGGGUCCGAGUUGUAAUUUGUAGAGGAUGCUUUUGGUGAGGUGCCGCCCGAGUUCCCUGGAACGGGACGCCACAGAGGGUGAGAGCCCCGUCUGGCUGGCCACCGAGCCUCUGUAAAGCUCCUUCGACGAGUCGAGUAGUUUGGGAAUGCUGCUCUAAAUGGGAGGUAUAUGUCUUCUAAAGCUAAAUAUUGGCCAGAGACCGAUAGCGCACAAGUAGAGUGAUCGAAAGAUGAAAAGCACUUUGAAAAGAGGGUUAAAUAGUACGUGAAAUUGUUGAAAGGGAAGCGCUUGUGACCAGACUUGGGCGCGGCGGAUCAUCCGGGGUUCUCUCCGGUGCACUUCGCCGCGUUCAGGCCAGCAUCAGUUCGGCGCGGGGGAAAAAGGCUUCGGGAACGUGGCUGCUCCGGCAGUGUUAUAGCCCGUUGCAUAAUACCCUGCGCUGGACUGAGGACCGCGCAUCUGCAAGGAUGCUGGCGUAAUGGUCACCAGCGACCCGUCUUGAAACACGGACCAAGGAGUCGUCUUCGUAUGCGAGUGUUCGGGUGUCAAACCCCUACGCGUAAUGAAAGUGAACGCAGGUGAGAGCUUCGGCGCAUCAUCGACCGAUCCUGAUGUUCUCGGAUGGAUUUGAGUAAGAGCAUACGGGGCCGGACCCGAAAGAAGGUGAACUAUGCCUGUAUAGGGUGAAGCCAGAGGAAACUCUGGUGGAGGCUCGCAGCGGUUCUGACGUGCAAAUCGAUCGUCAAAUAUGGGCAUGGGGGCGAAAGACUAAUCGAACCUUCUAGUAGCUGGUUUCCGC